This 74-nucleotide transfer RNA is filed under the name Candidatus Poribacteria bacterium. RNAcentral's name for it is "tRNA-Ala". It matches the Rfam family "tRNA". Rfam says of the family: Transfer RNA (tRNA) molecules are approximately 80 nucleotides in length. The record is from RNAcentral. Lineage: Bacteria; Candidatus Poribacteria.
GCGCCAGUGGUCCAACUGGUAGAGGCAGCCUCUUUGCACGGGGCGGGUUGGGGGUUCGAAUCCCCCCUGGCGUA